RNAcentral lists this ribosomal RNA (465 nucleotides) under Vreelandella stevensii. Its description in RNAcentral is "partial 16S ribosomal RNA". It matches the Rfam family "Bacterial small subunit ribosomal RNA", at positions 338 to 795 of the family's 1533-position model. The record is from RNAcentral. Lineage: Bacteria; Pseudomonadati; Pseudomonadota; Gammaproteobacteria; Oceanospirillales; Halomonadaceae.
CCUACGGGUGGCUGCAGUGGGGAAUAUUGGACAAUGGUGGGAACCCUGAUCCAGCCAUGCCGCGUGUGUGAAGAAGGCCCUCGGGUUGUAAAGCACUUUCAGUGAGGAAGAACGCCUGGUGGUUAAUACCCAUCAGGAAAGACAUCACUCACAGAAGAAGCACCGGCUAACUCCGUGCCAGCAGCCGCGGUAAUACGGAGGGUGCGAGCGUUAAUCGGAAUUACUGGGCGUAAAGCGCGCGUAGGUGGCUUGAUAAGCCGGUUGUGAAAGCCCCGGGCUCAACCUGGGAACGGCAUCCGGAACUGUCAAGCUAGAGUGCAGGAGAGGAAGGUAGAAUUCCCGGUGUAGCGGUGAAAUGCGUAGAGAUCGGGAGGAAUACCAGUGGCGAAGGCGGCCUUCUGGACUGACACUGACACUGAGGUGCGAAAGCGUGGGUAGCAAACAGGAUUAGAUACCCUGGUAGUC